GUUCCUGCCUGAUGGUAAUCUAAGAGUACGUUCCUGAUCUUGAUUUUCUGGUAUUUGACUUUGGCUUUGUUUUGACUUCCCUGAAUUCUAGUAUCCUUGACUUUUGGCUUUCCCUCAUUGUUGUCUGAUUCUGUGUUCCUGACCUCGGCAAGUAUUUUGACUAGUCUUGGAGACGUUAAGUCCGGCCAUUAUAGGGUCCGGUUAUACGUUAUCCUUGGUGUCAC
This is a non-coding RNA of Pelobates cultripes (western spadefoot toad), 224 nucleotides long. NCBI's taxonomy places the organism in Eukaryota, Metazoa, Chordata, Amphibia, Anura, Pelobatidae. The record is from the annotation of a GenBank genome assembly.